This 253-nucleotide ribosomal RNA is filed under the name uncultured bacterium. Its description in RNAcentral is "partial 16S ribosomal RNA". It matches the Rfam family "Bacterial small subunit ribosomal RNA", at positions 524 to 776 of the family's 1533-position model. The record is from RNAcentral.
UACAGAGGUCCCAAGCGUUGUUCGGAUUCACUGGGCGUAAAGGGUGCGCAGGCGGCCGUGUGUGUGAGGCGUGAAAGCCCGGGGCUUAACCCCGGAAUUGCACCUCAAACUACACGGCUAGAGCAUUGGAGAGGGUAGCAGAAUUCAUGGUGUAGCAGUGAAAUGCGUAGAUAUCAUGAGGAAUACCAGAGGCGAAGGCGGCUACCUGGACAAUUGCUGACGCUCAGGCACGAAAGCGUGGGGAGCGAACAGG